This 497-nucleotide ribosomal RNA is filed under the name uncultured bacterium. Its description in RNAcentral is "partial 16S ribosomal RNA". It matches the Rfam family "Bacterial small subunit ribosomal RNA", at positions 28 to 507 of the family's 1533-position model. The record is from RNAcentral.
GACGAACGCUGGCGGCGUGCCUAAUACAUGCAAGUUGAGCGCUGAAGGUUGGUACUUGUACCAACUGGAUGAGCAGCGAACGGGUGAGUAACGCGUGGGGAAUCUGCCUUUGAGCGGGGGACAACAUUUGGAAACGAAUGCUAAUACCGCAUAAAAACUUUAAACACAAGUUUUAAGUUUGAAAGAUGCAAUUGCAUCACUCAAAGAUGAUCCCGCGUUGUAUUAGCUAGUUGGUGAGGUAAAGGCUCACCAAGGCGAUGAUACAUAGCCGACCUGAGAGGGUGAUCGGCCACAUUGGGACGGGGACACGGCCCAAACUCCUGCGGGAGACAGCAGUAGGGAAUCUUCGGCAAUGGACGAAAGUCUGACCGAGCAACGCCGCGUGAGUGAAGAAGGUUUUCGGAUCGUAAAACUCUGUUGGUAGAGAAGAACGUUGGUGAGAGUGGAAAGCUCAUCAAGUGACGGUAACUACCCAGAAAGGGACGGCUAACUACGUG